This 253-nucleotide ribosomal RNA is filed under the name uncultured bacterium. RNAcentral describes it as "partial 16S ribosomal RNA". It matches the Rfam family "Bacterial small subunit ribosomal RNA", at positions 524 to 776 of the family's 1533-position model. The record is from RNAcentral.
UACGUAGGGGGCCAGCGUUGCUCGGAAUUACUGGGCGUAAAGGGUUCGUAGGUGGUGCGGUAAGUUGGAAGUGAAAUCUCUGGGCUUAACUCAGGGGCUGCUUUCAAAACUGCCGUGCUCGAGUGCGAGAGAGGUCAGUGGAAUUGCAGGUGUAGCGGUGAAAUGCGUAGAUAUCUGCAGGAACACCCGUGGCGAAGGCGGCUGACUGGAUCGCAACUGACACUGAGGAACGAAAGCUAGGGGAGCAAACAGG